RNAcentral lists this ribosomal RNA (79 nucleotides) under Penicillium sp. YNS9.5-120506. RNAcentral's name for it is "partial 5.8S ribosomal RNA". It matches the Rfam family "5.8S ribosomal RNA", at positions 78 to 154 of the family's 154-position model. Rfam says of the family: 5.8S ribosomal RNA (5.8S rRNA) is a component of the large subunit of the eukaryotic ribosome. It is transcribed by RNA polymerase I as part of the 45S precursor that also contains 18S and 28S rRNA. Lineage: Eukaryota; Fungi; Ascomycota; Eurotiomycetes; Eurotiales; Aspergillaceae. The record is from RNAcentral. RNAcentral also lists the same sequence under 2 other names.
AAUUCAGUGAAUCAUCGAGUCUUUGAACGCACAUUGCGCCCCCUGGUAUUCCGGGGGGCAUGCCUGUCCGAGCGUCAUU